Molecule: ribosomal RNA, 301 nt
Filed under: uncultured bacterium
Lineage: Bacteria
Description: partial 16S ribosomal RNA
Rfam family: Bacterial small subunit ribosomal RNA
Source: RNAcentral
CAGUAGCCGCGGUAAUACAGAGGAUGCAAGCGUUAUCCGGAAUGAUUGGGCGUAAAGCGUCUGUAGGUGGCUUUUCAAGUCCGCCGUCAAAUCCCAGGGCUCAACCCUGGACAGGCGGUGGAGACUACCAAGCUGGAGUAUGGUAGGGGCAGAGGGAAUUUCCGGUGGAGCGGUGAAAUGCGUUGAGAUUGGAAAGAACACCAACGGUGAAGGCACUCUGCUGGGCCGACACUGACACUGAGAGACGAAAGCUAGGGGAGCAAAUGGGAUUAGAUACCCGGGUAGUCCCUGUCUCUUAUAC